CGCUGAUGGAGACUGAGCCCAACGGUAACCCACAGGCCAAAAACCACGAGGAAACCCCAUGGCGGCGCGCCAAAAGCACCGAAACAGAUCUGAAAACCCACAGGGCCGCAAACCAACAACCUCAGAUUUGUCGGGAAUGAGGUGGGUCACUGGAGAGCCAGCGAGGCACCGUCGCGCGCAAACCAACAACCUCAUAUAUGUCAGGAACGAGGUGGGUCACCGAAGAGACAGUGAGGCAUCGUCGACGGGAACUGGAAGGGCGUGAACACACGAGGACGAGGAGAAGCCGAACAGGAAAGGAAGACGCCGUCGGAACAAACCCAGAACU
RNAcentral lists this long non-coding RNA (328 nucleotides) under Lotus japonicus. RNAcentral describes it as "long non-coding RNA (LJAP_LNC000230)". The record is from RNAcentral. Lineage: Eukaryota; Viridiplantae; Streptophyta; Magnoliopsida; Fabales; Fabaceae.